GGAGAGGGGCUGGGUUUGGCUGGGUGGGAGUGGGUGAGGGGGCUGUGGGUGGUGCUGCAGGUAUGAUGCUCCAGUGGGCAUGCUCAGAUUACUCUGGAAGAAAAACAACAGCAGUGGUCAAAACACUGUUAUCUCCUCUCAUGUCCUUGGUUAUUUGGACAACAAGCUGUAACAGCCAGUGGGACCUGAGGGCCAGAGUCCAGCAGAGUUCGGUGAUUUCACUGCUCUGACACAUUAACUGAACUUCUUAACUGACUGCUAAUAACUGGUUGAAUCAGGUCUGUUUGAGGAGGGAAAUCACCAAACUCUGCCGCGGUCUGUGCCUCCAGGACGGGAGUUCCCCACUCCUGCAUUAAAAGACAGACAGCCUCAUUACAGCUAAUUAUCAAGCGCUGAAUGAGCUGAAUCAGUGAUGAAAAGUGUGUCUACCUGAGUGGAAGCCUGCAUGGCAGCCAUGGGCUGGUCCAUGGACGUAAACGCAGAGAUAGCAGACAUGAGAACCUCAUCGCUGACCAGAACGUUCCCCUGCACCAGCGUGUGUGUGAGAGGAGAGGGAGGAACUGUGAUGGGGCUGCGGCACAGCGCUGAUGGAGGGGACGGAGGUGUAGGCAUUGCUGGAGGCCAGAGACACGGUGGCCAGUGAGGGGGUGUUGGGCUGGCACUGCUCCCUCUUAUGUGUCAUGAAUGCAGGCAAGGAGUUAAACUGCUUCUUACACUUUCCACAGAGGAAGACGUCAUCAUCAUCUGCGAAACAUCAACACAGUAGUCAUGUUUAAAGUUCCUGUUAAAACAGCUUAAAUUCUAACAGUUAGACCCCCAGCUUUCAUAACUACAUAUUAGUUACAGAAUAAUUAUUGGAAUUAAUAAAUGAAUAAUAAGCCUGUAGUUUAAGGAAAAGCCAAACGUAGUAGAUUCAGUACUGUGUGUGGGAGUAGCUGAUUUUGAUAAUUGCGUAAAAGAAAACAAGCCGUCAUCCGGACUGUCUUGAAUCUCAGGACAGACUGGGUAUUCCUGGUUGGUCACCGUGGUGCUGAACUGAAGGGCGGCUACAAGAGCUAAUUUGAGGCAUUCAGCCUCCUGGCAGCGCUCCCAAACUGAGCGCUGUUGGGCAGUAAAAUGACCAAUGUUUGUUGUAAAAUGAUAAAUUUAGAAUACUUUACAGCCCACAGGCCUACUUUGGACAGAAAUGUAACAUUUAAAAAUACUCUCUGUACAUCAGCAACAACACAGAACAGAAAACGCUGCUCACCCAUUGGCUGGAUGGUCGUCCCUGAGACAGUCUGAGUACUGGGAUCUGGGACACCACCUUGGCCAUCCAGAAGGGACUGGACAGCAAGGACCGUCUGGUUGUCCAUUCCUAUUCAGGAGCAGAAUGAGGCUUAAUUAAUGCAUCUGUGAAAGAUUUUAGUCACCAGAGCCACUGAACUGUGCAGCAGCAGAAAGUCAGGGCAACUAGACUGCUGGUAUAAUCAUCUGAGUGGGUGGUAACCAGUACCACUUACUCCUUCCUCAGUAUCUCCAAAUGAUAAUACUUCACUUCUACUCAAGCAUAUCUGUGAGGAAGGAAAUCUACUUUACUCAGUCACAUUUUAUUUAGUAACAUUUAGAUACUAAUAUGAUACACUGGUGAAAGCACCAGUACUGCUUUGGGACUGCUCACACCUCUUCAGCACUGCAUUUUAGACCAAACAGACUGAACCUAACAAACUUUAGUUACUUUUGAACAUCUUUCUCAAGUUGUUUUUGAAAAGGUACUUUUAAUUUUACAUAACUCACUAUUUCACCAAACUAAUAACACCUUCAUUUGACCAUAGGUUUAGAUUACUGUGUGGGGACCCAGCGGCUUUAAGACAUCUUCAAAAUUUCUCCAGUUGUUCAGACGCAAUUAAAGUCAUUCAAGGCUGAUGUGAAAUGAUUCACUGUAAACAAAAGAACGGACUUAGACUUAUCAUAAUAAAUUUAUUUAGUAUCCCAAA
Molecule: long non-coding RNA, 1976 nt
Organism: Colossoma macropomum (tambaqui)
Lineage: Eukaryota; Metazoa; Chordata; Actinopteri; Characiformes; Serrasalmidae
Exons: 3
Source: RefSeq, a predicted model, not a curated record